AGGCAGUUAGUUUUAAGCCAAAACACUUGAUUUCGGCUCAAGAGCUUGUGGUUCAAGCCCACAACUACCUA
This 71-nucleotide transfer RNA is filed under the name Gephyroberyx darwinii (Darwin's slimehead). RNAcentral's name for it is "tRNA-Arg". It matches the Rfam family "tRNA". From Rfam's summary of the family: Transfer RNA (tRNA) molecules are approximately 80 nucleotides in length. Their secondary structure includes four short double-helical elements and three loops (D, anti-codon, and T loops). Lineage: Eukaryota; Metazoa; Chordata; Actinopteri; Trachichthyiformes; Trachichthyidae. The record is from RNAcentral.